Molecule: ribosomal RNA, 460 nt
Filed under: uncultured bacterium
Lineage: Bacteria
Description: partial 16S ribosomal RNA
Rfam family: Bacterial small subunit ribosomal RNA
Source: RNAcentral
CCUACGGGAGGCAGCAGUGAGGAAUAUUGGUCAAUGGACGAGAGUCUGAACCAGCCAAGUAGCGUGAAGGAUGACUGCCCUAUGGGUUGUAAACUUCUUUUAUAUGGGAAUAAAAUGUUCCACGUGUGGGAUUUUGUAUGUACCAUAUGAAUAAGGAUCGGCUAACUCCGUGCCAGCAGCCGCGGUAAUACGGAGGAUCCGAGCGUUAUCCGGAUUUAUUGGGUUUAAAGGGAGCGUAGGUGGAUUGUUAAGUCAGUUGUGAAAGUUUGCGGCCCAACCGUAAAAUUGCAGUUGAAACUGGAAGUCUUGAGUACAGUAGAGGUGGGGGGAAUUCGGGGUGUAGCGGUGAAAUGCUUAGAUAUCACGAAGAACUCCGAUUGCGAAGGCAGCUCACUGGACUGAAACUGACACGGAGGCUCGAAAGUGUGGGUAUCAAACAGGAUGAGAUACCCUAGUAGUC